RNAcentral lists this ribosomal RNA (489 nucleotides) under uncultured bacterium. Its description in RNAcentral is "bacterial SSU rRNA". It matches the Rfam family "Bacterial small subunit ribosomal RNA", at positions 28 to 507 of the family's 1533-position model. The record is from RNAcentral.
GAUGAACGCUAGCUACAGGCUUAACACAUGCAAGUCGAGGGCAGCAUGAACUUAGCUUGCUAAGUUUGAUGGCGACCGGCGCACGGGUGAGUAACGCGUAUCCAACCUUCCGUUUACUCAGGGAUAGCCUUUCGAAAGAAAGAUUAAUACCUGAUGGUAUCUUAAUGACACAUGUAAUUAAGAUUAAAGAUUUAUCGGUGUACGAUGGGGAUGCGUUCCAUUAGGUAGUAGGCGGGGUAACGGCCCACCUAGCCUACGAUGGAUAGGGGUUCUGAGAGGAAGGUCCCCCACAUUGGAACUGAGACACGGUCCAAACUCCUACGGGAGGCAGCAGUGAGGAAUAUUGGUCAAUGGACGAGAGUCUGAACCAGCCAAGUAGCGUGCAGGAUGACGGCCCUAUGGGUUGUAAACUGCUUUUAUAAGGGAAUAAAGUGAGUCUCGUGAGACUUUUUGCAUGUACCUUAUGAAUAAGGACCGGCUAAUUCCGUG